GUGCCAGCAGCCGCGGUAAUACGGAGGGUGCAAGCGUUAUCCGGAUUCACUGGGUUUAAAGGGUGCGUAGGCGGGCAGGUAAGUCAGUGGUGAAAUCUCCGGGCUUAACCCGGAAACUGCCGUUGAUACUAUCUGUCUUGAAUAUCGUGGAGGUAAGCGGAAUAUGUCAUGUAGCGGUGAAAUGCUUAGAUAUGACAUAGAACACCCAUUGCGAAGGCAGCUUACUACACGAUCAUUGACGCUGAGGCACGAAAGCGUGGGGAGCAAACAGGAUUAGAAACCCUGGUAGUCC
RNAcentral lists this ribosomal RNA (292 nucleotides) under uncultured bacterium. Its description in RNAcentral is "partial 16S ribosomal RNA". It matches the Rfam family "Bacterial small subunit ribosomal RNA", at positions 505 to 796 of the family's 1533-position model. The record is from RNAcentral.